AUUCAGGAGGAAUGAGUGCAAAGUUUGUAUAUUAAUAGCUACACUUUUGGUGGUGUUUUUGGUAAGUGUGGUGGCCUUUUUCUGUGGGCUUUGGGUGGAACUUCCUGACCACUUGAGUUGAAGUGAUAACAGGCUUUGCAGUUCUUCAGCAAAGUGCACUGUCACUUACAGACCAUUGACAACCCCAGAAAUGAACAGACACAUUGACAGUUCUUCAGGAAGAUGAUCUCUUUUGUUCUGGUCCAUCAUAUCGAAAGUCAGGGGUAUUUGAACCCAGUGUAAUUAGAGCAGCUUUCGUGAGUAUGUAACUAAUUCAGUUACAUACUUCCAUUAAGGAGAACAUAUUUUGAUAAAAUAAAGACUUCAUAGAAUAACCUUUGUUUGUUCCUUCCUUCCUUCCUGCCUGCCUGCCUUUCUUUUUUUCUUUCUUUUUCUUUCAGGAAAGCCUUGAAUGCAGUCUUUCCACUACCACAAAUUAUGCAUAGGAAAUGCCAGGAGUCAGCAUAUCCUGGAGUGUCAAAAGUAAGUCUCGGCAUGGGGACACCUACAUGAUCAUAUAUCCUCUGCCAGUGCGGGGAUUACAGAUGUCCAUGAGACCAUGCCUGGCUUCUUAUCAACUCCUCCUGAUUGUACAUCAAAAUCUCUAAACCCUUCAAGUUGUUCUUAAUAUAAAGAAGAGGGCUGGGUGUUACAGGAAGCAGAGCUGAGAUGAAGCAGAUGAAUCCUGUCCAGGACAGUUGGCCUUGAUCUUUGUAUCUGUUCCCAAUCAAAAUAAUAGAGUUAGAGUCAACAGGACCCAAAGAGAUCAUGUGAAUAUUCAUGUUGAAAAGGAACUUUCUGGGCCAUUUGAAAGACAGAUUUCCUGUUUUGUUGAUCGACAUCACAGGAAUGGUUGCUGAUUUCUUGUUCCAGAGCCCCCAUUCUAACCCAGCGCACAAGUGAAGGCUGGGAGUCUUGUGGGUGCUGGGCCAGGUCCUAUGGAGCUUGUCUUACCUUAGCUGCUCCGCCAGUGAGAACCUCAAUUUCUUCGAUAUGUCAAAGAAAAAGACCAUCAAAUCCAUUCUUCUUGAAGUACACAAAGGUUCUGGGAAUACUUUUGGAAAAGCACUACUUUUAGUCAGACGAUUUCUCUCCCUUUGGCUUUGGCAGUUUGAGGAGUCUGGACAGAAGGCUUUCAAGCUCUGCAGUGCCAAGUGUAAGCAGGGUCGCCUAGCUUAAGUCACCCACCAUGUGGAAGCUUCGGUUGUUUAUAGAAAGAUCCUUGGCAGUUUAUUUAACUUUCUGUAAACGAGGAACUAAUGAAAACCUCCCUCUUCCAUUCUAACCAUUGCCAGGUUUUAGAGAAUAAUCCCUUCAUGUUUUUGCCUGCAGCCAUUACUUUUCUGAACUCAAAUAUCAUGUCCUGAAUAGCAAUAAUCUAUUGAUCUGAAAAGACAGCUCAUACGUGUAUCAAUCCAAAAAGCCAGUUCCUGAAGCUAGGCUUGUCCUUUAGUAGAAACCCCAGAUAAGAAUUCUAUACAGAAUGUAUGUGUGUGUGUGUACAUGUACAAGUGCUUGACAAUGAACUGAGAAUAAUACAUUUCAAGAAUUUCUUAGAAUGAAUUCUUUUUUCUUUUUUUUUUUUUCCCGAGACAGGGUUUCUCUGUGUAGCCCUGACUGACCUGGAACUCACUCUGUAGACCAGGCUGGCCUCGAACUCUGAAAUCUGCCUCUGCCUCCCGAGUGCUGGGAUUAGAGGCGUGUGCCACCACCGCCUGGCUUAGAAUGAAUUCUUAAUUAGAAGAUUUUAGAGUGGGGCUGGAGAGAUGGCUCAGUGGGUAAGAGCACCCAACUGCUCUUCCAAAGGUCCUGAGUUCAAAUCCCAGCAACCACAUGGUGGCUCACAACCAUCCUUAAUGAGAUC
Molecule: long non-coding RNA, 1903 nt
Filed under: Mus musculus (house mouse)
Lineage: Eukaryota; Metazoa; Chordata; Mammalia; Rodentia; Muridae
Description: predicted gene, 32913
Source: RNAcentral